Oncorhynchus mykiss (rainbow trout) is the source of this 1924-nucleotide long non-coding RNA. Lineage: Eukaryota; Metazoa; Chordata; Actinopteri; Salmoniformes; Salmonidae. The record is from Ensembl.
AUAGUGACGUUCAGUCAGAAUAACUUGCUGGUCUUAGUAUCCCACUCAGAGCGCGUGUCCCAGGUCUUCUUAAGAGUGAAAAUAGGUGGCAUCACCUUAAGAUUCGACCAGUGUUCAUUUGUUUAAAAAUCACCUGAAAAGCUCGACACUCACUAAAAGAAACAAAGAAGAGGUAACAAAACGGACAGUGCGCUGUGCUCCUGCAGCGCGCUCCACUCUGUCUGCCGUGCAGUUGAAAAGUUAUAUCAAAGAUGAUCUCUCCCUCUCUCUCGGUUGAGUGAAUAAGGACUCCCUCUUCCCAGUUCGAAGUAAUAGCUAAUAGUGUUGAAGAGGGCAGCAGCUCUUGGUUUUGUUCAGAUCUGGGCAGAUCUCUCCAUCGACAGCCAAUCAUCCCUGUUCUGAGCUUUCAUUGAAGGUGAAGGAUGUUGUGCUUGGUAAUAUAUAUGGCUACUGGGACCAGCUGGGUAUUACUACUGGGUCCAGCUGGGUAUUACUACUGGGACCAGCUGGGUAUUCCUACUGGGACCAGCUGGGUAUUACUACUGGGACCAGCUGGGUAUUACUACAGGGACCAGCUGGGUAUUACUACAGGGACCAGCUGGGUAUUACUACAGGGACCAGCUGGGUAUUACUACUGGGACCAGCUGGGUAUUACUAGAGGGACCAGCUGGGUAUUACUACUGGGACCAGCUGGGUAUUACUACUGGGACCAGCUGGGUAUUACUAGAGGGACCAGCUGGGUAUUACUACAGGGACCAACUGGGUAUUACUACUGGGACCAGCGGGGUAUUACUACUGGGACCAGCUGGGUAUUACUACUGGGACCAGCUGGGCAUUACUACUGGGACCACCUGGGUAUUACUACUGGGACCAGCUGGGUAUUACUACUGGGACCAGCUGGGCAUUACUACUGGGACCAGCUGGGUAUUACUACUGGGACCAGCUGGGCAUUACUACUGGGACCAGCUGGGUAUUACUACUGGGACCAGCUGGGCAUUACUACUGGGACCAGCUGGGUAUUACUACAGGGACAAGCUGGGCAUUUCUACUGGGACCAGCUGGGUUUACAACUGGGACCAGCUGGGUAUUACUACUGGGACCAGCUGGGUAUUACUACAGGGACCAGCUGGGUAUUACUACAGGGACCAGCUGGGUAUUACUACAGGGACCAGCUGGGUAUUACUACUGGGACCAGCUGGGUAUUACUACUGGGACCAGCUGGGUAUUACUACAGGGACCAGCUGAGUAUUACUACAGGGACCAGCUGGGUAUUACUACUGGGACCAGCUGGGUAUUACUACAGGGACCAGCUGGGUAUUACUACAGGGACCAGCUGGGUAUUACUACUGGGACCAGCUGGGUAUUACUACUGGGACCAGCUGGGUAUUACUACAGGGACCAGCUGGGUAUUACUACAGGGACCAGCUGGGUAUUACUACAGGGGCCAGCUGGGUAUUACUACUGGGACCAGCUGGGUAUUACUACAGGGACCAGCUGGGUAUUACUACAGGGACCAGCUGGGUAUUACCACAGGGACCAGCUGGGUAUUACUACAGGGACCAGCUGGGUAUUACUACUGGGACCAGCUGGGUAUUACUACUGGGACCAGCUGGGUAUUACUACAGGGACCAGCUGGGUAUUACUACAGGGACCAGCUGGGUAUUACUACAGGGACCAGCUGGGUAUUACUACUGGGACCAGCUGGGUAUUACUACUGGGACCAGCUGGGUAUUACUACAGGGACCAGCUGGGUAUUACUACAGGGACCAGCUGGGUAUUACUACUGGGACCAGCUGGGUAUUACUACUGGGACCAGCUGGGUAUUACUACAGGGACCAGCUGGGUAUUACUACAGGGACCAGCUGGGUAUUACUACUGGGACCAGCUGGGUAUUACUACAGGGACCAGCUGGGUAUUACUACUG